This 212-nucleotide long non-coding RNA is filed under the name Elaeis guineensis (African oil palm). Its description in RNAcentral is "long non-coding RNA (EGUI_LNC043375)". The record is from RNAcentral. Lineage: Eukaryota; Viridiplantae; Streptophyta; Magnoliopsida; Arecales; Arecaceae.
GCCUGUCACUUUAUUUUUCUUACUUCAUUCAAGACAACAUUGUUUAAGUUAUGGGGAGGGAUAAAUUAAUAAAUCAUAAAUCUUUGAAUAUGUUCAUGAUUAUGUACUUGAUUAUCCUUUAGACUUGAGGUUAGUUAUGCAUUUUAAGAAAUAAUUGAUGCACAGUUUAGAAGAUUUUUGAAAUAUCAAGAGAUCAAAUAAUAAGAAACCCA